GCAGACCUUAUAAGGACAUCCUUUUGCUUUCCCGCCUCUUUCAGACAAUAUAAAACUUUCGGACCUGGAGAAUGGAGGUUGUUGUGUACUGGCCGCCAUUAAACAAUAACGAACCAACUGUUACUCCACAUCUUUGUUUCCCUUGCUCAACGUCGGACAUCUUGAACAAAACGCAACAGUUUUUUUACUGCAUUUUUUUUUGUAUCAUGUUUGCUAACUUGAACGGAUGGGACAUAUCCAGCACAACUUGCAGUGACACGCUGGAAAACAUUUCCGAAUAUCGUGUUAAAAUCUGAGAGGUGAAAUGUUUUAGUGCUGGAAAACAUAAGUGAGCGCGCCGACUCCAUCUGGGCGGGCUGGCAUUAUCAUUAUGGCCUUCUGGAAGGUAACAUUUAUUCGGAAUCCUCCUGGCUAGC
Molecule: long non-coding RNA, 416 nt
Organism: Syngnathus acus (greater pipefish)
Lineage: Eukaryota; Metazoa; Chordata; Actinopteri; Syngnathiformes; Syngnathidae
Exons: 3
Source: RefSeq, a predicted model, not a curated record